This 117-nucleotide non-coding RNA is filed under the name Gorilla gorilla gorilla (western lowland gorilla). The record is from Rfam by way of RNAcentral. Lineage: Eukaryota; Metazoa; Chordata; Mammalia; Primates; Hominidae.
GCCGGGCGUGGUGGCUCGUGCCUGUAAUCCCAGCACUUUGGGAGGCUGAGGUGGGUGGAUCACCUGAGGUCAGGAGUUCGAGACCAGCCUGGCCAACAUGGUGAAACCCCGUCUCCA